RNAcentral lists this ribosomal RNA (502 nucleotides) under uncultured bacterium. Its description in RNAcentral is "bacterial SSU rRNA". It matches the Rfam family "Bacterial small subunit ribosomal RNA", at positions 28 to 517 of the family's 1533-position model. The record is from RNAcentral.
GACGAACGCUGGCGGCGCGCCUAACACAUGCAAGUCGAACGAGCGAGAGAGAGCUUGCUUUCUCAAGCGAGUGGCGAACGGGUGAGUAACGCGUGAGGAACCUGCCUCAAAGAGGGGGACAACAGUUGGAAACGACUGCUAAUACCGCAUAAGCCCACGACCCGGCAUCGGGUAGAGGGAAAAGGAGCAAUCCGCUUUGAGAUGGCCUCGCGUCCGAUUAGCUAGUUGGUGAGGUAAUGGCCCACCAAGGCGACGAUCGGUAGCCGGACUGAGAGGUUGAACGGCCACAUUGGGACUGAGACACGGCCCAGACUCCUACGGGAGACAGCAGUUAGGAAUAUUCGUCAAUGGGGGAAACCCUGAACGAGCAAUGCCGCGUGAAGGAUGACGGUCCUUUGGAUUGUAAACUUCUGUUGUUAGGGAAGAACAAGCUGUAUAGGAAAUGAUACAGUUCUGACGGUGCCUUUCAAGAAAGCUCCGGCUAACUACGUGCCAGCAGCCG